This 69-nucleotide transfer RNA is filed under the name Cherax punctatus. RNAcentral describes it as "tRNA-Trp". Lineage: Eukaryota; Metazoa; Arthropoda; Malacostraca; Decapoda; Parastacidae. The record is from RNAcentral.
AAGAUUUUAAGUUAAUCUAAACUAACAUCCUUCAAAGUUGUCAAAAAAAGUUAAAUCUUUUAAAUCUUG